UUCAAAAGAGGCGCAUGACCAGGUAUUACCUGGUCAUGCGCCUCUUUCAUG
This 51-nucleotide small RNA is filed under the name Paenibacillus sp. P22. The record is from RNAcentral. Lineage: Bacteria; Bacillati; Bacillota; Bacilli; Caryophanales; Paenibacillaceae.